Etheostoma spectabile (orangethroat darter) is the source of this 9794-nucleotide RNA transcript. It is a transcript of the gene named myosin phosphatase Rho interacting protein, with no coding region annotated. Lineage: Eukaryota; Metazoa; Chordata; Actinopteri; Perciformes; Percidae. The transcript is spliced from 27 exons. The record is from RefSeq and is a predicted model, not a curated record.
GACCACCUCCCCGUCUCCCCACAGACUGUACGGCCCAAGCGAGGAUUUUCACGAAAACAUCAACCGCAAACUGCUUCCCAGUGCCAGCAGGAACGUUACUACGACGAACGGAACCCGGCGCUAUGGAUCCAACGGCAUGACAGCCGAGUCGAUGGCGUUUUUAAAGUUGGAUAACGGUGUUUGGUCUUAAAGAGAGACGUCAGAAGCGUAAAGCAGAUUUUACGGCAAUGAAUACGGUAUCACUUGUUAGAUAGAAAGAAAGACAGAGAGAGAGAGAGAGGGGGGGGGCCGAAGUGGACUCCCUCCCACGGUCGAGCCGUUCCGCCCGAUGGAGGCUGACGGGACCUUUGCAGUGAGCUCGAGGCCCGGAAUGUUACCUGUAAAACGUCGACACCUCGUUGGAGGACGUAAUUAAGGAAAAUACCGCGCACACCUGUCUGCGCUUCCGAAGAAUUGUCAACUUCUUAGUUAGCCUGCAUUCAAAAACAAAAGUUAUCUGGUGAACGUUAGCUGCGGGUGGCGUCCCCUCGCGCAAGAUGACUAACAUAGAAAUCACUUAACGGGGGUUCUUGGCCGCCUCAGGUAUAGCACAGGUGAACAGCGCUCUAAAGCCGAGUCACGGACUUCACGCGUCUUUCUUCUGAUGGCUUUGUUUUAAAAAGUUGACUCCCAACUCAUUUGGUUGCGACAAUUGAGCAGUUUUUGUCUUUCAAAACAAGAACUUCCUGGAUUUAUUUUCUCAUCAAGUGUCACCUUUUUCGCCAACCAUGUCAUUCAAAGACAAUCCUUGUCGGAAAUUCCAAGCCAACAUUUUCAACAAAAGUAAAUGCCAGAACUGCUUCAAGCCCAGAGAAUCACAUUUGCUUAAUGACGAAGACCUAAACCAGGCAAAACCCAUUUACGGUGGAUGGUUGCUGCUGGCGCCAGAGGGAACAAAUUUUGACAAUCCGUUACAUAGAUCUCGGAAAUGGCAGAGGAGGUUCUUCAUCCUUUACGAGCACGGCUUACUUCGCUAUGCCCUGGACGAAAUGCCCAGCACUCUACCCCAGGGUACAAUCAACAUGAACCAGUGCUCCGACGUCAUCGAUGGAGAGUCCAGGACAGGUCAGAAGAACUCGCUGUGCAUCCUGACACCUGAGAAAGAGCACUUCAUACGGGCUGAGUGUAAAGAAAUUAUCAACGGGUGGCAGGAGGCUCUGACUGUGUACCCCAGGACCAACAAGCAGAACCAGAAGAAAAAACGCAAGGUUGAUGCACCCACUCAGCAGGGUGGAGAAACUGCAAGCCAGUGUUUUUCCACUGAAGACAUGAAUGGACACCCAUCUCUCUGUGACCUUACCUCCCAUUAUGUAAUUUCCUCUUCCCGUCCACUCCUUCCAACCCAAACCUGCACCCAGGAGCCUGGCCCUGCCAAGGUGACGGUGACCAGCAGCGGGGUAAGCAUCCCUUGUCUGCCCAGCAGCAUUGCCGGUGCUGAGCGAGUCCCAUUGAGCCGUGCCACUCUGUGGCAGGAGGAGAGCCGCUGGAGCAGGGCCACCAUCCCCUGUAGCCGCAGUGCCUCCUGCCUGAGCCAGCUGAGCCAGAGCCAGCCAGACUCCAGCCUCACUACUCAAGAUGAUGGCGGCACCGUUAGCACCGGACGCAAGGUUCGAGUGGAGAGUGGUUACUUUUCGCUGGAGAAGACCAAGUCAGAUCCUUUUCCACAGUCUCCACAGAACUCUCAUCCACCCCAGCCGCCCCAGCAUCUGCCCCUGUCCUCCUCAGCAUCCUCCUCCUCUUUAGGAGCUCUCAGUCCCAGGUACAACUCUGAGUCUGAAUCCCAACCUUCCCCUUAUCAACCCUCCCAAGAUUCUCUCCCUUCUCCAGGUGCACUUGUCUCUCCCAGCUACUCCACCAUCAGCUCCUCCCAGAGCUCGCUGGACUCCGAACCCAGUGGGACUAUACCCACCUGGGAGGGAUGCAGUGGUGGUGGAGGAAGCACCAGUAGUGUCAGUGGUGGAGGCGGCCGACUGGGCCGGUCUGGCAGGGAGUAUACUGCGCUGUCCGAUGUGCCACGGGCGCGCAGACUGAGUUACCGUGAAGCCUUCCGCUCAGAAAAAAAGCGGCAAGAGCUAAGGGCACGGACACGGAGUCCUGGCAGAGAAGAGGUGGCUCGGCUGUUCGGACAGGAGCGCAGGCGUUCUCAAGUCAUUGGGCGAUUUGAAGAGGGUCAGCCUGUAGAGCGCAUGGACACGAGCAGCUCCCAUGAGCACUCCGCUAACACCACGCUAAUCCAGAGACAAGGCCGCAGUGAGAGGCGCUAUCUGGCUAACAAACAUGAGAUGUCACUGGAUGCAGGAAAAGAUCGUUCAGUCCCUGACGUGUCCAGCUCCACCUUUGCUAAUUUAAGAAGAGCCAAGUCCCUGGACCGCAGAGUCACCGAGUCCUCAAUGACUCCGGAUCUGCUGAACUUCAAAAAAGGAUGGAUGACAAAGCUGUAUGAAGACGGAAUGUGGAAGAAACACUGGUUUGUCCUGACAGAUCAGAGUUUGAGGUACUACAAGGACUCAAUAGCCGAGGAGGCUUCAGAUCUGGAUGGGGAGAUUGACCUCUCCACAUGUUAUGAUGUCAAAGAGUUCCCGGUCCAGAGGAAUUAUGGCUUCCAAAUCCUGUGUAAGGAGGGAGUGUGCACCCUGUCAGCCAUGACCUCUGGAAUCCGUCGCAACUGGAUUCAGGCCAUUAUGAAGAAUGUGCGACCAACUAUUGCCCCCGAUGUCACCCGGAAAAACAUCACUCUGAAACUAUCCGUUCUGAAGCCCAGAUCCUUCCCUGUGGAGAAGACAAAGGCCAACGUGAUGUUGGAGCCUUGUCCACAAGCCACCCCUGAGCCAAGAUCCAGUCCUGUGACUCCCAAGUCUGAUGUUCAAAGACAGCUAGCUUGCAACAAUGCCUCUGCUCCUCCCUCUGAGCCCCUUAAAAGCCGAGUUCGUGAGCGCAGGCGAGAGGGCCGCUCCAAGACUUUUGACUGGUCUGAGUUCAAAAUGGAACAGAUCGAAAAGCCUGCAAAGGAACGAGCAGACACAGUCGACCUCAGCUCAUCAUGUUCCACAACAUCCUCAUAUUGCUCUCCCUCCUCUUCCCCUUCCUCUAUAGCGUCCUCUCCAGUCUCUACAUCCUCCAUCCAAACCUCUUCCGUUUCAGGUGCUCGGCCACCUUCUAUGACCGUAGAAGCAGAAAAGGAGAGUGUUGUGAGGGGUGAGAGUGUCCCUCUACAUAGCACAACCAGUGCAACCCACAUGCCAAAUACUGUCACUGUUACCAUGAUCUCCAUGCUAAACACUACAUCACCGGUACAGCCAUCGAUACCUGAAUGCCUAGAGCAAGGAAAGAUGGAAGUAGAUCACCCUACGGCCAUGCGUCCUGCCAGUGAAGAUAAGGACAGCAGAACGUCAGGUGUCCGAGAAGAGAUUGAGCAACGAUGGCAUCAGGUGGAGACAACACCGUUAAGAGAAGAGAAACAAGUGCCCAUCAACACAGCUUCAGGAAACUCUGGUUACUCUGACAGAUUGCCUGCACAUGAGCUUGCUGCGCUGCUAGACAAAGAGUUGGGACAGAAGCAGCAGGAGCUGGACCGACUACAGAAGCAAAACAACGUUUUAAAAGAGCAGUUGGAAGAUGCUCUAGGUAGAGAACAAAGUGCCAGAGCUGGCUAUGUGCUACAGAGUGCAACAGCCUCUUCCUCCACGGUGCCAUGUCAACGCCUGCACAAGCUUAAUGAAGAUUUGCAGGGUGAGUUGGAGACCCAAAAGCGCAAGCAGGACCUUGCUCAGCAGCAGAUUCGGACACUAAAAAGAAGCUACACAGAGGCCCAGCAUGCUGUAGACCACCAUGAGUCUGGUAUUCAGGCUCUUCAAGCCAAACUAGCAUCUGCAAUGGCUGAAAUCUUGGCCAGUGAACAGGCUGUGGCCAGAAUGCGGAAUGAGCUCAAGCUUGAGCAGCAGCGUUCAAAGGAACAAGAAGAGGAAUAUAGUCAUGGUGAGGCCACCCUACGGGCCCAGCUUAAGGACAGUGAAGAAAGACUCCGUGAAGUAGAAGCCAGCCUCUUGGAGAGAAGCCAGGCCCUUAGGCACCUGGAGCGCCAGCAGGCCCUGCAACGAGACCACACAAGAGAAAUACAGAGGCUGCAGGAGAUGCUGCAAGAGGUGACCGCUCGGCAAAGUGCUACUGAAAAGGGUCAUGCCCUGAAAGAGGAGCGCCUGAGGAAGGAGCAGCAUAGCAUGCAAGAUAGUCAUGAGAGGGAAAGACAGAAUUUUUGUAGAAGAUUAGCUGAGGCUGAAACUGCACAGAACGAGAUGGAGAACAGACUGCUGGAGGCUAAGCAGCAGGUGGAGGCCCUGUUAAGAGGGAGACAGGCCUCUGGAGGAAAGGAAUGCAGGGAGGAAAUACUGAAGUUACAAGAGGAGCUGACCCAGAAGACCGACAUGGUAGAGUCACUAAGGGAGAGUGUGCGUAGGCUAGAAGAAGAGAAAAAACAUCUCACUUGCCGCUGUCAGGAGCUUCUUAACCAGAUUGCAGAAGCAGACCGUGAGGUGAAUAAGCUCCGCAAUCGUCUGGAAACGGAAGAGGCUGAUUACUACACCCUGGAGCACUCAUAUGAGAGGGCGACCCAAGAGUUUCAGAAAAUGAGCCGGUUCCUUGGAGAGAAAGAGGAAGAGAUCCGACAUACCAAGGAGAUGUAUGAGAGGCUAGUGGAACGCAAGGAAGAGGACUUGAAAGAGGCCCUUGUUAAAAUGGCUGCACUUGGCAACAGCUUGGAGGAAACCGAACAAAAGUUGCAAGCUAAGGAGGAGCUUCUUUGUCAAAUGAGUCAAAGCAUUUUAGAUAAGGCUGAGCCCUGUAGUGCUGAAAAGGAUCUGCAAGCUAAGCUUGUGGUUGCAGAGGACCGCAUAGCGGAGCUAGAGCAGCAUCUCAAUGCCCUGCAGCUGGGCUAUGCUGACCUACGCAUGGAAAGGCAGCAAAUCCCAGACCAGAGCAAGAAGGCCAGGCUUAAAACAUCAGCCUCCUUAUCAGCAAACGCGGAACUCUUACUUUCGUUUGACAAUACAUCCAACACAGCCAACUCCCCAGAUGAUAAGGAGUCUCAAGCUAAGAGACCAAGGAUACGUUUUUCCAGUAUUCAUUGCCAAAAAUACAUAAAUCUAGAGGGCCUGGACACAAGCCAUGUGAACACUGCCUUUUCAGACCCAAGACAAACUGUGAACCAGGAUGUAGAUGAAGACCUCCAUCUAAGUGAAGGAAACAUUUCCUCGGAUAUUCCUUUCUCUCACAGUAGUGACCCAGAGAAGUUUAUCGCCAUCGUACAUGCUCUAGAGACUAAACUGCUAGCCACAGAGGAUAAACUAAGACACCUCACACAGAAUCUAGAAGAGCAACGAUCCAUCCAAGCAGAAGACAUGUCCAAGAUUGAUCUGAAGAUGACUGAAACAAAGCCUAACCCUAAUAAGGAUAUCAGUUGUGGAAGUGGGAUACAGAGUAGUGCUGCCAAUAAGCAUUAUGCCAAGGCUCUGGUGUGUGUGGAAAAUAGUCGAGAGAAAGUCAGAACUAUUCUCAGUGGCUCUCAUGAUACCACUGGUUCACAGCUGCACUCAUUGUCAGAGAUAGAGAAUGAUUUGUUCAAUGCAUCACUGUACAUCCGACAAGGACAAAAGACGUUGGAAGAACAAUCACCAGUUGUCCACCAAAAUCAAAUCCCAGAGACUCUAGAUAAAGAAGCCUUGCAUCUCUUUGCUAAAACAUUAUCGUUUGAAGCAAUUGUUUUGAACAAAAUGGCUUUGUUGAUACAGACUUCAAAGUCUGACCUCCUACAAUCCCUUGCAGAGAUAUGGGAAGACAUGGAGAACUUUAAAGGGGGUGACAAAGAUUGCUUGGCUAUAGUUUACGCUGAUGUCUUAACCAGGAAGUUGAUGUUAGAAAGUGCAUUCUGGACAGACUUGGAGAAAGCUGAGACGGAUGUAGCUGAAUCCAAAGAGGGCAGCGUUUCAGCUGAUGUAGAUGUUGAUGCCACAGUUAUAUUUAACACCUUUGUUAAAGCAGAGCUGGCCUACUCUAUUCAAAACCUUAAACUUUGCUAUGAGGAAAAAUUCAAAGUACUGAAAAGGGAGUUGACUGACGCACACGAUAACCUGCAUCAAAGGGAAAUGGCUCUGAAAGCAAUUAUUGAAGCUUCCAAAAGGCCUGAUUUGAAAAAUGUAAUAAAAGAAGUCAAAAAUAACUUUGGGUUUAGUAAAAAAAAGUUAGCUGACAUUCGCCCCCCUGAACUUGCUCCCUACAUGGAGCAGAUUGAAAUGGAAGAGGCUAGAGGCUUGGCUGAGGAAAUCAUUGACAGACAUUUGCCUGGAGAAAUGCCCUCUUGUGGGGUUGACUCUAUAGAAUCGCUGCAAAAUGCACAUGACAACCUGGCUAAUGAGCUUCAAAGACAAGCAUUAAUCCUCCAUAAGUAUGCCCAAGAGAUAGAAAGUGGUGGAAACCACCCUGGACUGGCUAAAAUGAUCCAUGCUCUUUUUGGCCACCAAACUUCACAUCAUUUCACAAGUACCUCUCUCUGUAUGCGCGAAGCCCUAAUCCAAGCUCAAGUGGCUUAUGUGGCAUGCAGGUUACGGGCCAUGCACGAACAAGACUUGGGCUGGUGUAAACAGACGGGUCAGAACAUGGAUGAUCUCGUCCAGCAGCACGCCCGCAAUGUCAGCGCAAUCCAAGAGAAAUAUGAAGCAUCCUUACAGGAUGAGCACCUCAACUUCACACAAACCGUUUCCACUCUCCAGAAGGAGAACCAUACACUGAAGAGUGAGAUCAGUAAGCGUGUGAACCAGCUAUCCCAGCAGCAGGAGCAACUGGCUCUCCUGGAGGAGCGUUUUCAGAGGGAGACAGAAGCGCUGAAGCAGAGGCACAAGCAAGAGCUAAGCCACGCAGAGAAAGGACGCGUCUCAACUGAUCUGGCCCUCAUGGAAACGACAGCUGACAGUCAACAAAAGCUAGAAGUUUUGCUGGUGGACAUGGACACCAUGGAGGAGCGCCACGAGGGUCAUGUGAGGAAAUUGGAGGAGCAGUUUGAGCAGCGGAUCUGUGAGCUCCAGCAUAUCCACAAACAGGAGAUUAAAAAGUUACAUUCUGAGUAUAUGGAAAACAUUCAGUGUAUCCAAAAGCACCAACAGGAUGAAAAAGGUCCUGGGGUUUCCGACUCGCCUCCUUAUGAUGAGGUUGCCACACCAAUGGAAGAGGAGGAGCAGGGGAAGGGGGAAGAUGCACUAAUCAUGUCAGAGAUGGACUCUAUGGUGGUCCUGAAGGACCGCAUCCAGGAGCUGGAGGCUCAGAUGAGCACCAUGAAGGACGAACUGGAGAGCAAGCACCUAGAAGGAGAUGUGGCCAGCCUGAGACAGAAAUACCAGAGAGACUUUGAAAGUCUUAAGGCCACGUGUGAACGUGGCUUUGCAGCAAUGGAAGACACACACCAGAAGCUAAUACAUGACCUCCAGAGGCAACAUCAGAGGGAGAUUUCCAAACUUAUGGAAGAGCGAGAGAGACUCUUGGCUGAGGAGACUGCUGCCACAAUUGCUGCUAUUGAAGCGAUGAAGAAUGCCCACAAGGAGGAGCUGGAGAAGACCCAUCGUUCCCAACUGAGUGGAGUGAACUCGGAUAUCGAUGAACUUCGCUUACAAUAUGAGGAGGAGCUGCAGUCCAUCCACAGAGAACUGGAGGUGUUGUCAGAGCAAUACUCUCAGAAAUGUCUGGAGAACGCUCACCUGGCCCAGGCACUGGAGGCCGAGAGGCAGGCCCUCCGCCAGUGUCAGAGAGAGAACCAGGAGCUAAACGCUCACAACCAGGAAUUAAAUAACCGACUGACUACAGAGAUCACACGGAUGCGCUCCUGUUUCAGUGGUGAAACAGCGCUGUCACCACUUACCCAGGGCAAAGAUGUGUAUGAAUUGGAGGUGUUGCUACGAAUUAAGGAGUCUGAGAUCCAGUAUCUUAAACAAGAAAUCCACUCAUUGAAAGAUGAACUGCAGUCUGCUUUAAGGGACAAGAAAUAUGCCACAGACAAAUAUAAGGACAUCUAUACAGAGCUCAGCAUUGUGAAAGCAAAGGCGGACUGCGACAUCUGCAAAUUGAAGGAGAAGCUGCUCAUUGCCACAGAAGCUUUAGGCGAGAGGACUGUCGAUGGAACGGUCACAUCUGGAUACGAUAUCAUGAAAUCAAAAAGUAAUCCUGAUUUCCUGAAAAAGGAACGCUCAACAACCUCCAAGCAAUCAAGAGGCAUAAGGUCAAAGUCUGUCACUGAACAGGUCUCAUGGGAUAGCUGACACUCCCAUUGUGGGGUGAUUUCCCCCCCCCCCAACCCCCGCCCCAAGAUGUGCUAGCCUGAAAGAGGGACUAACUGUGCAGGAGCGUAUGAAGCUUUUUGAGGCAAAGGAUUCCAAAAAGAUUUGAUGAAUAUCAAGAAUCUGAAGUUUUGUUUCUCUUUCCUGACCUUGGCUUUUGGUCAGAUUGCUACGGCCGUGCCAGCAUCAGCUGAAGACUCUUAUAGGAAAGGGGGGGGGGGGUGGGGAUCUAUCAAGGUUAAUUCAAAACCUGGACCUGCUGCUUCCAUGCAAGGUGUCAUAUUUUUUUGAUUUUUGUCUUUUAAUUAAUGAAAACAAGUUCUACUGAAUAAAUCCUGUGUAGGGUUUAUUAUAAAAAAAUCAAUAGAUGUAUAAUCUGUCCAACAUGGAGAUGUGUCAAAUAAGCUUUGAGAGGGAUACAAGACAACAUUUUUAUUGAUCCUCCAAAAUGCCAAAACAGACAGCAAUACACAGUAUGAAUAAUAUAUAUUUCCCAAUAUGAAUUAAGUAUCUGCUGUAUUUUAUUAUUGUUACAGUUUCUAUAUCAUAAUUUUUAAUGUUUUUAAUGUUGCACCAGUUCUGUUGUACAUAACUGCUGGAUAUAUGUGUUGGAGUAUGGUUUGCUAUUGAGUGUUGGGGCAUCUGCUGUACUAGAACUAUGGUUUGAUUGACAGUGGAGAACAAUGUGACGCUUAACGUGCUUAUGUAUGAGAGAGUUUUAAAAUGGCGUGUCUGUGUGUGAAGGGGGAAACGGGGGGGGAUUGCACUUAACACAUGACUACUUGGAGGAAGCUUUUUUUUUUUUUUUUUUUUAAUUUGUCUCAAAUUGGUGUAGUGACUUUAAUUCAAUUAUUGCAGUGCAACCAAACAUCCUGACUUGUGUCAAUAUUAGUGAACAACCAGGACUUGUUAGUGAUACUGGAUUUUUUUUUAAACUUGGAGUUGUGUUUGCUCAGUUUUUACUUUGGUGUGAGAAUAUCGUCUCGGAAAUACCGGAAUUAUUUAGGACUUUGCAUGCCUGUACAGUAUCACAUUGAAUUGCAGAAUGAUCAUGUUGCCUCAUCUUCCUACUUUAUGCUUCAGUGUGGAACUCUUAACACUAAUAAGCUUUGCUUUGCAAGUCCUACUGUUUAGGUGUUGAGAGUUUAAUGUUUUACUGUAAGCGGCAGUCUUGAAGCACUUGGCCCAAUUCCCGACCUCUCACUGAAAUCUAGUCGUGCCUCAACUGAGUGAAGAAUAUAACUAUCCAUGAAACCUGUGCAGCUAUGGAUACACACUGUCUAGUAUUCAAACCACGCCUUGUACAUAUAUAUGCCACACGGAAGACUUCUGUGUUUUGUUUUAAACUUAUACUUGCUCACUAGCUCUAUAUGAAAUAUAUAUGAAUAUUUUUUAUUUUAAUUUGAAUGUAUGAUGUCAAAUAAAUGAAGUGUUUGGAAA